This 484-nucleotide ribosomal RNA is filed under the name uncultured bacterium. RNAcentral's name for it is "partial 16S ribosomal RNA". It matches the Rfam family "Bacterial small subunit ribosomal RNA", at positions 28 to 507 of the family's 1533-position model. The record is from RNAcentral.
GUUGAACGCUGGCGGCAGGCCUAACACAUGCAAGUCGAGCGGAUGGACGAGGCUUUUUCCUGUCUUCCGCUACCGACGGGUGAGUGAUUCCCACGUAUCUACCUUAUCUUUGAGAAUAACGUCCCUUCACGGACCCUAAUCCCGCAUCCGUUCUGAUGGUGAACCUGAUGGAUCUUCAGUCCUCACCCUAUCUGCUGUUCCUAGGUCGGAUUAGCUAGUUGGUGUGGUAAAGGCCUACCAAGGCGACGAUCCGUAACUGGUCUGAGAGGAUGAUCAGUCACACUGGAACUGAGACACGGUCCAGACUCCUACGGGAGGCAGCAGUGGGGAAUAUUGGACAAUGGGCGAAAGCCUGAUCGAGCAAUGCCGCGUGAGUGAAGAAGGUCUUCGGAUUGUAAAACACUGUAAGCUGGGAGGAAGGAAAGUAAGAGAAAAUAUGGAUGUCUUGACGGUACCAAAAGAAAAAGCAACGGCUAACUACGUG